UACGUAGGGGGCAAGCGUUGUCCGGAUUUAUUGGGCGUAAAGAGCGUGUAGGCGGCUAGGUAGGUCCGUUGUGAAAACUCGAGGCUCAACCUCGAGACGCCGAUGGAAACCAUCUAGCUAGAGUCCGGAAGAGGAGAGUGGAAUUCCUGGUGUAGCGGUGAAAUGCGCAGAUAUCAGGAGGAACACCGGUGGCGAAGGCGACAUCCUGGACCGGUAUUGACGCUGAGGCGCGAAAGCCAGGGGAGCAAACGGG
Molecule: ribosomal RNA, 253 nt
Filed under: uncultured bacterium
Lineage: Bacteria
Description: partial 16S ribosomal RNA
Rfam family: Bacterial small subunit ribosomal RNA
Source: RNAcentral